This 75-nucleotide antisense RNA is filed under the name Saccharothrix sp. ST-888. RNAcentral's name for it is "ASpks TB sRNA". It matches the Rfam family "ASpks TB sRNA". The record is from Rfam by way of RNAcentral. Lineage: Bacteria; Bacillati; Actinomycetota; Actinomycetes; Pseudonocardiales; Pseudonocardiaceae.
CUUCACAGAGCCCAGCCACAGCGGCCGGUCCUCCGACCGCUCCUGGCCGUAGGGGGCCAGCAGCGCCUGCGCCUC